Molecule: long non-coding RNA, 547 nt
Organism: Anopheles merus
Lineage: Eukaryota; Metazoa; Arthropoda; Insecta; Diptera; Culicidae
Exons: 3
Source: RefSeq, a predicted model, not a curated record
UCACUGUGGAAGGAUGUGUUGGAGUGAUGUGUGAUUUCUUGUGCCCCGUACUUUGCUCGUUUAAGUUUUGUGCCGUGUUCCUUCUUCUUCAAUUAUGGAAUGAUUUAUCCUUGUAAAUUUCUGAGGUACAGGUGCACGCGCAUGUUAAUCGACGGUUACCUGUUGGCCUUGUCAACAUCCCGCAAAACGAUCGACGGAAGGAAAACGAUUUCAUCACAGCUCUUUCGUAGAAGAGCGCACUUCAAGGACGCCUAGGAUACGGCUAAACAUACGCAGCACCAGUCCGUGACGUCUUUUCCAGACAGGCGCCGGCUUAACACGCGCAGCACCAGUCGAGGAUAUCCUAGCGCAGAGGGUAGAAGGAAGAACGAGAGGAAGGGUAACUGAAAGCAACCGCAGCAUUUGGAAGGGGUGAAGCAUCCUGCCGUAUACAGAGUGUGAGUGUGCCAAAACGCAUGUGGAAAGAGUAACACCAAUAAAUAGCAUGCGAAAGUGUGCAUAAAGCAAAAAGAAAAAGCGUCACUACUACAACCAGCAAUCCGAAAAU